This 76-nucleotide transfer RNA is filed under the name Anaeroplasma bactoclasticum. RNAcentral describes it as "tRNA-Lys". It matches the Rfam family "tRNA". From Rfam's summary of the family: Transfer RNA (tRNA) molecules are approximately 80 nucleotides in length. RNAcentral also lists the same sequence under 2 other names. Lineage: Bacteria; Bacillati; Mycoplasmatota; Mollicutes; Anaeroplasmatales; Anaeroplasmataceae. The record is from RNAcentral.
GGUUCCGUAGCUCAGCCGGUAGAGCAACAGACUUUUAAUCUGUGGGUCAAGGAUUCGAAUUCCUUCGGAGCCACCA